ACCGUGAUCACGAAGGCGGUUCCUCCGGAGUGAGGCUUGGCCAUUGCACUGCGGCUGAGUUGACCUCUGCGAUUAUUCCUAAUGUGAAUAACUCGUGCGUGUAAUUUUUGGUAGCCGGGAAUGGCGUUCGCGCCGUCCCGACAUUUUACAAUAAAUUUAAAUGGCUGAGAAAACAUUUUAUUUUCGUUUUCUACUGCAACUUGAAUCGUCUGGCCUGAGUUCAAAUCCCACUCAUGACCAACUGAUUUUAGUGGCUUAUUUUUAAAUUUUGGCCAAAAAUUAAAUUUUUUUCUGCUGUUUUUGAAACCGAAACUAAAUCUUUCGCUAUGAAAGCCGCCUGAACAAGGGAACAUUCUGAUGAAUCGAGAUUUUCUACGAUAGAAGGCAAUGGAUUCCAUCACCAUAUUAUUAUUAAACUUCAUUCUAGGCAGUCAACACUAAAUAAUGCUCCAAUGACUCUAAGAAACUAGCGACCUGACUUGAAUGGAUGGCACAGGAAUGGUCGGCGUUUGUUUGGACUUCAGGCUUUGAGGCUCAGCCCAUGUCCUCCAGUUAGAGCAGAAGACGAUCCAUUGAAGCCAGUGCUCUGUGGACGAGAGACUGAGUCUUUCUUCCAAUCUAUUAGUUCCUAAUAGAGAGGAUUGCUUGGCAGGACUCCUCGUGCCACAAGUUAAGCGGAACGAACGGAUCUUGGUGGAUGAAUGCCUUAAAAGCAAGCAUGGUCCAUGGUCCUACGAUUCGGAAAUGUUUCAAACGUCUCGGAACUUAUAAUAAUUUCGAAAUAUGUCCAGCGGUCCAGAGAAAACAAUCUCAAGGGAAACAGCAUCCCAUCCCCAUAGUUUCUUCAAUCAAUUAAACACAUCGGUUAUGCAUCAUGAAUUCAAGGAAUUCUUUUGUCCACCCACAAUCGAAGACUAUGCUUUCCCAUUAAUCAAUAAACACUCGUUCUGUUGUUUGUUUUUUUUAUCGUG
Long non-coding RNA from Drosophila persimilis, 971 nucleotides. RefSeq lists it as uncharacterized. The record is from RefSeq and is a predicted model, not a curated record. Lineage: Eukaryota; Metazoa; Arthropoda; Insecta; Diptera; Drosophilidae. The transcript has 2 exons.